GCAGCAGCCACGGGAAUACGUAGGGUGCAAGCGUUAAUCGGAAUUACUGGGCGUAAAGCGUGCGCAGGCGGUUAUGUAAGACAGAUGUGAAAUCCCCGGGCUCAACCUGGGAAUUGCAUUUGUGACUGCAUGGCUAGAGUGUGUCAGAGGGGGGUAGAAUUCCACGUGUAGCAGUGAAAUGCGUAGAUAUGUGGAGGAAUACCGAUGGCGAAGGCAGCCCCCUGGGAUAACACUGACGCUCAUGCACGAAAGCGUGGGGAGCAAACAGGAUUAGAUACCCCGCGUAGUCCCUGUCUCUUAUA
Molecule: ribosomal RNA, 302 nt
Filed under: uncultured bacterium
Lineage: Bacteria
Description: partial 16S ribosomal RNA
Rfam family: Bacterial small subunit ribosomal RNA
Source: RNAcentral